UAAGAGCAGGACUGGCAUGCGUCACGUUCUUGAGAGACUGUUUAAGGCCUCCAGCAGGGGAGCGUGGCUACUUUCCCACCCCUGACUUAAGACCGGUCUGUUAUGGGGAAGGCUGUCCUCUUCAGCGGGAGGUGAAGCUUCAGGAAGGAAGCAUGUGGAGCGGUGAGGGAGACACCCACCUAACCAGUCCCAUCACCCGAAUCAGCCCUGGCUAUCAGGGAGGUGAUGGACGUCUCAACCAGAAUCUGGACUUAGGAAAAAAAGCUGACACGAAAGUAGAAGUGGAUUCCAUGGAAGGAGGAAGGGGUCUACACGCCUCCUGCACUCUAGGAUUACAGGCGUGCAGCAUGACAGCCAGAUGAAAGGUGGAUACUCGUUACAGUUGCUGAGGAUGUGGGAGAAGGGAUACUCCUUCACUGCUGACUGGAGUAUAAAUUCAGUCACUUGGGAAAGCAGUUCAGAAGAUGGAAGUAUGUAGUAAAAUUGUGUCCUCUGA
This is a long non-coding RNA of Mesocricetus auratus (golden hamster), 496 nucleotides long. RefSeq lists it as uncharacterized. The record is from RefSeq and is a predicted model, not a curated record. Lineage: Eukaryota; Metazoa; Chordata; Mammalia; Rodentia; Cricetidae. The transcript is spliced from 3 exons.